Molecule: non-coding RNA, 165 nt
Filed under: uncultured Prevotella sp.
Lineage: Bacteria; Pseudomonadati; Bacteroidota; Bacteroidia; Bacteroidales; Prevotellaceae
Source: RNAcentral
AUAGGUUCACUAACGGCGUGAUUAAAAAGGGAAUCAGGUGAAAGUCCUGAACAGUCCCGCUGCUGUAAGCCGCCAUUUGCGAGGCGAACACGAUGCCACUGGAACGCUGUUCCGGGAAGGCCGUUCGCUGCCGGGCGGACAAGUCAGAAGACCUGCCAUUGCGAA